RNAcentral lists this ribosomal RNA (868 nucleotides) under uncultured archaeon. Its description in RNAcentral is "bacterial SSU rRNA". It matches the Rfam family "Archaeal small subunit ribosomal RNA", at positions 1 to 878 of the family's 1478-position model. The record is from RNAcentral.
UUCCGGUUGAUCCUGCCGGACCCGACUGCUAUCAGAGUGGGACUAAGCCAUGCGAGUCAACAUAGCAAUAUGUGGCAUACGGCUCAGUAACACGUAGUCAACAUGCCCAGGGGACGUGGAUAACCUCGGGAAACUGAGGAUAAACCGCGAUAGGUCAUCACUUCUGGAAUGGGUAAUGACUUAAAUCUAUAUGGCCCCUGGAUUGGACUGCGGCCGAUCAGGCUGUUGGUGAGGUAAUGGCCCACCAAACCUGUAACCGGUACGGGCUCUGAGAGGAGGAGCCCGGAGAUGGGCACUGAGACAAGGGCCCAGGCCCUAUGGGGCGCAGCAGGCGCGAAACCUCUGCAAUAGGCGAAAGCUUGACAGGGUUACUCUGAGUGAUUUCCGUUAAGGAGAUCUUUUGGCACCUCUAAAAAUGGUGCAGAAUAAGGGGUGGGCAAGUCUGGUGUCAGCCGCCGCGGUAAUACCAGCACCCCGAGUGGUCGGGACGUUUAUUGGGCCUAAAGCAUCCGUAGCCGGUUCUACAAGUCUUCCGUUAAAUCCACCUGCUUAACAGAUGGGCUGCGGAAGAUACUAUAGAGCUAGGAGGCGGGAGAGGCAAGCGGUACUCGAUGGGUAGGGGUAAAAUCCGUUGAUCCAUUGAAGACCACCAGUGGCGAAGGCGGCUUGCCAGAACGCGCUCGACGGUGAGGGAUGAAAGCUGGGGGAGCAAACCGGAUUAGAUACCCGGGUAGUCCCAGCUGUAAACGAUGCAGACUCGGUGAUGAGUUGGCUUAUUGCUAACUCAGUGCCGCAGGGAAGCCGUUAAGUUUGCCGCCUGGGGAGUACGGUCGCAAGACUGAAACUUAAAGGAAUUGGCGGGGGAGCA